GACGAACGCUGGUGGCGUGCUUAACACAUGCAAGUCGAACGGAAAGGCCCUGCUUGCAGGGUACUCGAGUGGCGAACGGGUGAGUAACACGUGGGUGAUCUGCCCUGCACUUCGGGAUAAGCCUGGGAAACUGGGUCUAAUACCGGAUAGGAGCCAUUUUUAGUGUGAUGGUUGGAAAGUUUUUUCGGUGUAGGAUGAGCUCGCGGCCUAUCAGCUUGUUGGUGGGGUAAUGGCCUACCAAGGCGGCGACGGGUAGCCGGCCUGAGAGGGUGGACGGCCACAUUGGGACUGAGAUACGGCCCAGACUCCUACGGGAGGCAGCAGUGGGGAAUAUUGCACAAUGGGCGCAAGCCUGAUGCAGCGACGCCGCGUGGGGGAUGACGGCCUUCGGGUUGUAAACUCCUUUCGCUAGGGACGAAGCUUUUUGUGACGGUACCUAGAGAAGAAGCACCGGCUAACUACGUG
Molecule: ribosomal RNA, 465 nt
Filed under: uncultured bacterium
Lineage: Bacteria
Description: partial 16S ribosomal RNA
Rfam family: Bacterial small subunit ribosomal RNA
Source: RNAcentral